UACGUAGGCGGCCUGGAAAGUUGGGUGUGAAAUCCCUCGGCUCAACCGAGGAACUGCACUCAAAACUACUAGGCUCGAGGGAGAUAGAGGUAAGCGGAACUCAGGGUGGAGCGGUGGAAUGCGUUGAUAUCCUGGGGAACACCAGUUGCGAAGGCGGCUUACUGGGUCUCUUCUGACGCUGAGGUACGAAAGCUAGGGGAGCGAACG
RNAcentral lists this ribosomal RNA (207 nucleotides) under uncultured bacterium. Its description in RNAcentral is "partial 16S ribosomal RNA". It matches the Rfam family "Bacterial small subunit ribosomal RNA", at positions 568 to 774 of the family's 1533-position model. The record is from RNAcentral.